RNAcentral lists this ribosomal RNA (595 nucleotides) under uncultured Marinobacter sp. RNAcentral's name for it is "bacterial SSU rRNA". It matches the Rfam family "Bacterial small subunit ribosomal RNA", at positions 870 to 1464 of the family's 1533-position model. Lineage: Bacteria; Pseudomonadati; Pseudomonadota; Gammaproteobacteria; Pseudomonadales; Marinobacteraceae. The record is from RNAcentral.
CGCCUGGGGAGUACGGCCGCAAGGUUAAAACUCAAAUGAAUUGACGGGGGCCCGCACAAGCGGUGGAGCAUGUGGUUUAAUUCGACGCAACGCGAAGAACCUUACCUGGCCUUGACAUGCAGAGAACUUUCCAGAGAUGGAUUGGUGCCUUCGGGAACUCUGACACAGGUGCUGCAUGGCCGUCGUCAGCUCGUGUCGUGAGAUGUUGGGUUAAGUCCCGUAACGAGCGCAACCCCUAUCCCUAGUUGCUAGCAGUUCGGCUGAGAACUCUAGGGAGACUGCCGGUGACAAACCGGAGGAAGGUGGGGAUGACGUCAGGUCAUCAUGGCCCUUACGGCCAGGGCUACACACGUGCUACAAUGGUGCGCACAGAGGGCUGCAAACCCGCGAGGGGGAGCCAAAUCUCACAAAACGCAUCGUAGUCCGGAUCGCAGUCUGCAACUCGACUGCGUGAAGUCGGAAUCGCUAGUAAUCGUGAAUCAGAAUGUCACGGUGAAUACGUUCCCGGGCCUUGUACACACCGCCCGUCACACCAUGGGAGUGGAUUGCACCAGAAGUGGUUAGUCUAACCUUCGGGAGGACGAUCACCACGGUG